Drosophila ficusphila is the source of this 6011-nucleotide long non-coding RNA. RefSeq lists it as uncharacterized. The transcript is spliced from 3 exons. Lineage: Eukaryota; Metazoa; Arthropoda; Insecta; Diptera; Drosophilidae. The record is from RefSeq and is a predicted model, not a curated record.
AAUAACGACAGUUUUUAACUUCAAAUAUUAUUUCUAAAAACCUUUAUGUGAUCAUUUCUUAUAAGAAGUUCGAACUAUUAUAUCCAUGUAUAUAAUAUAAUUAUAAUUAUUUAAAUUUAAUACUUUAUAAAUAGUAAAAGGAUUUUGUGAUUACUUAUAAAUAUGCAUGGUGAGCAAACUUUUUAGAAAAUCAUUUUCAAAAAAUGUACUCCAUUAAUAUUUAAUUAAUGUUUCAUGUCUGUUUAGGUGAACUCCCUUACUAUAAUAGUACUUAAAGUUUUUCUAGCUUGUACGAUUAUUCAAAUAACUUGUAAUAUAUUUUUCUGUGUGUAGUUCCCACACUUUUUCUUUUUGGUCCUGACGAAAUUGUCUCCCAUUUAUUUUUCAACUUCGAUUUUUGCCUGUCGCGCUUUGCGUAUUUCCAUUUCUUUAUUUUUAUUUUUUCUUUUUGCAAAUUGACACCCUCACGCACGCACACACACGCAAUGAGAGAGCUUGUUAGAGUGGUUGUUGUAGUUUUCCCCUGUCGAUGUUGCCGCUGCUGCUGUUGUUGUUAUGUCUAUCUGGCUGUCAAGCUGCGGCUGCUGCUGGUUUUCAGCAUUUUCCGCUGGCUGCUGAUGCCCGCGACUCCUUCAGCAGCUUCAUCAAUGCCGGAAGCGUGAAAAUCUACAGCCGAAAGAAAGGGAAAAGUUCACAAAUGGAAAAUUACGGGUGCACACGUGCUCGCACACACACAUGCCACCCCCUGACCCACAACAACAACAGCAACAACGUGAACAAAUAUUUUCCCAACCCCAGGAACUCGGUCUCGUUUGUCAUUUCAGGUUGUUUUAUUCAAUUUCGAGCCAAGCGAAAUUCACCAAAAAAAAAAAAAAAUGAAAGGCAAAAGGGAGAGAUGGUUGCGAAAAAAAACUCUUUGAAAAUUCAACUGAACAAUUCAGCUGAAUGUCAUGCGAUAUGUCACACAUGUAGCCCAACUGCCACGCCCCCUCCUCCCCCAUUUUUUUGGCGAACCGCUGCCUUAUCGGCUGCCAUAUUAAUGUACUGGAAAUUUGCCAUUUUUCCUUCUGCCCAAAAAGUAAAUGCGAUACACCCCGAAAUGGGUUGGGUGAAAAGGAGCUUUUCAUUUAGUUGUCAAUGUUCUUUAAUCUCAUUUAGUGCGAGGAGCAGGAAUAAAAACCAUUAAGCAUGAAUAUCAGUUGAAAUAUAUAUAUUUCUGCAGACAAAUACAGUUAGGAAAAAUACAUACUGUUAAGGAAAGUAAUCAGGGUUAUUAAAACAAGGAGAUUUCUUGCAUUUAACAUCUUAUUAAUACUUACGAUAUUGUAACCAAAUUAAUUUUAAUUAACAAAUUGAUAUUGUCGAGAUUGUUCUUAUCUUAAAAAGUUAGGAUUGUACAAUAAGUUUUAAUUUUUUUUUAAUAUUAAAUUGAUUACGAAUUUCUCAAUAAUAUUAAAGCUGCUAUUAACUUGCUUCUGAAUAUUUUUAUGUAUGCUGACACUUUGGCGAUUUGGCGACUUUUGGCCAUUCAAUGGCAUCGAUGCGUGUCCACAGUCGAUUCUAAUCAGAGAACGCCACUCGGGCAGCAAAAGGCAACAAAAUGGAGAGUCGAGUUUUCAUUCUUUUUGUCGGUUGCGCUCGACUGAAUUUCAUUUGCCAACUGGCAGCCAUGAAAAAGGGUCAGUCUUUGGUCCAUUCGCUGCUGAUCCUUUUGUCAAUUGCCUUGGGUUCUCGAUUUUUGCCGUCGUUCUUUCUCUGACUUUUCAGCUUUCAAGUCGGGCAAUGACUUUUGGGUCUGUGAGAUGGGCAAAUUUGUAGAUUGAAUGACUGCUGAUAUUGUCAUUAUUGGGUAAGUCGAUUGAUUGUCCUUGUCAGUGGAAUUGGGUUUUUUUUACCAUGACUGAUUAUCUGAACUUGGGAUAUUUGAGUAAUUAAAUGAGCAGCGGGGAAGAUAAGGUAACAUAUCUUAUAAGCUAGAUGGAGGGGAACAUAUUCAAAUAUAACAUUUUUAAAUAGAUAGAAUUAAAAAAAUAAUAUCCUAUUUAAUUUGACAGUACUUUGUUUUAUUCGUUUGCUAUUAAACACUUUCCGUUUAGGUUGAAAAACUUUCACAAGUAGUUUUCCCAUUAGCUUAAAUAUGUCCUUGGUGGAUCGUAAAACUGGAAAAAUAAAUGUCAUUUCCUUUGUUUUUUCGCCCAUUUGCGACUGCAACUUCCCGCCCACGUAGCCCAUUAAUUUCUUGUGCCAUUUUAAUUUCGCUUUCGUUUUGGUAGACGCUGCAAGGCCAAAUGCAACAACAUCUAAGGCUGCGUCUGGGGAAGCCCCGUGGAAAUGAGUUCACCGAAGUGGGUGGAAAAGCGGCGAAGGAAAAACUGUUGCAUUAAAAGGCAAGGCAGCCGCUACGUCAUCGCUGUUCACUGCUGCGAAAAUGAGCCAAGUUGGUAGUUAGUCAGCGUUCGCUUUUCCUCGCUGCUGGGCUCCGCUUGUUUCAUUUCAUUUAUUUCAGCCCGUUGCCGGCAGAAUUUGCACAGCUUUUCCACCGCAUCCUCCUCCUGUUCCUCCUCCUCCUUCGUCGGUGGGGCUAUAAUUUCAUUCGCCCAUUAAAAAUUUACUUUGCAACCCACUCGGUAGAGUUUUUCCCGCUGCUCCCGAUGUUGCUGCCGGGUUGGGUGUUGCUGCUGCUGGUGUUGCAAGUUGCCGGUGGCGCGUUGCUGCCGUCGUCCUGCGUUGGCGUCGCCGUUUGUUAGUUUGUUUUUGGGGCCAAAGCCGCAAGAGAGCGCGGCCCACUUUUCUACACCCACCAAAUGAAUGGUAGUGAACAAAGGCACAGAGAAAAAUUUAGCAAAAAAUUUCAUUGGCUUGCGAACCAAAUAAAUUAAUUCAUUUUGUAUUAAAUAUGUACGGAUAUUGUGAGAAAUUUAAAAAAUUAUAAUCGAAUUUCUUCUUAAACUGGAACUUUUGGUUUUUAUAAUAACAAAAUAUCCAAGAAAUAUAUUAUUUUUUCUGAAAUACUUAGUUAAUGCAAAGUAUCUUAACUGCCUAAAAAUUUAUAAGUUUUAUGGUCAAAAUUUCAUUUUUAAAGCUGAAACUCCAUAACAAAGCUGGCUUUUAAAUUACAAGCUAAUUGCAACAUAAUUUGUGUUUAAAAUUUUAUCGCCGUGUGAUAAUGAGUGUUUUCCCAACUAACGCCGACUGCGACGCCGACAGCGCUGCCUCCGUCGACGUUGGUGUGAGGGAGCUGCGCUCAUUUUCAUUUUCAUUUUCGUUGAUGAGAUAAUGGUUUCGGUGUCUCUGUUUUUCCUCUCCCUGGAAAAGCGUGAUGAUGAUGAAGCUGCCGGGAGUGAAUUAUUUUAAAUGUGGGUUUCAAGGUCAAGGUGACGGCGGUUAUUGUUUUGCUUUUCGCGCUGCUGGCGUCGCAGUCACUGGCUCUGCUGCGUUCAUUAAUCGCUGGCAGAGACGCCAGCUUUUCCUCUCAUUUUCUUCAUGAUUAGCAUAAUGAAGAGAUGAAUGAACCGGCGUUGUAAAGCAACUGGUGGUUGUUUUGGCCAGCUUUUAAUUAUUGUUUGUCUUCUUUUUGUUGCGAAUUUUUUCCACCGAAUUUGUUAUUUUGGCGACGAAAAGUGUUGCCUACUUGGAGGCGCCAUUUGCCGGGAAAUUCUCCCAGGGCGCAUUCGAUAAAAUUGCGAAAAUUGCUGAGGGGCAUAAAGGGAAUGGAAGCGUCGAACGUCGACGACGCACAUCAAAAUAUGCAAAUUGGAAUUUCAAAAAUACAGCAAUAUUGCUGAAGCCUUCAGUUUCCACUCCACAUCUCCGACGACUCUGCCACCCCCUUUCCAUAGGCAACCCAACGCCCUGCCACCCCAUCACUCCACCGCCCAGGGCACAUACUUUUGUAUGUGUACUCAGAUAUCUAUCGGACAGUAGUAACUCAUGAAAAGGAAAACCUCAACAGCCAUGCCUUUGAAAGUAUAAUAUCGUUAACAUUAGUAACAAUCAAAUUAUGUUAUGUUAAGUAUAAAUCUCUUACAAGCUUCCUAAAAUUGAAUCAUAAAACUAGCUUUUUAGCGCAGAAAUUAUAAUUUCUUAAAAAUAUUACUUACAUUAUUGCCUUAAAAUUUUUCAAGCAGUUAAGUUAACAAAUUGUUAAAUAAAAUUGGACAUUGUACAAAAAAAUACUUUUGCAAACUAUUUGUAAAGAUCUUAAGUUUACAAAAAUUAUUAAACGUUAUUCUUAUAUGAAGUUUUACUCUUUGAUUUUACUAGCAUUUACUGUACGACGUUAUCUAUAUAGUUAACCCGAUUUUUGGGCGCAUGCAAAUUUGGUUGCCCUGCGGCAGCGACGUCGCUGCCAGCGCCUCAGCCAAAAAAAGAGAGAGACGGAAGAAGGCGAAGAAAAGAGAGAGCAACAGCGGGUGGGUGGGAGUUGAGAGCACGGCUGCCAUUAUUCGCCUUUGGCCUUUCCUCCUUUGCCUUUGCUUUCCGCAGCAGGGGAAAACUCUCAGCCCGACAGCGACGCCGGCAGCGACGUCGGCGCUUCGACCAGUGCGCAUGCGCGCUGCUUUCCGCCACUUUGCAUCCCUUUCGCACUCGCUGGCAGCCAAUUGCAUCCCCCGAGAAGCAGCGCUGUCGCUGUGUUCCGUUUCCCAGGCGUUUGCAGUGGGAAAGCCGGAAAAAUCGUGGUGAGGGGAACGCUUCGGCAUUUGGCACGAGGAAAUUAACGCCGGGUAAUGAAUGAAAAUGAAAAUGAGAAACAAAGACGGGCGAAAAAUUACCCAAAAUGAAGUUUUCCAGCUGCGGAAAGUGCAGCAACUGCGACGCAGACAGCAGCAUCAACAGGAGCUGAAGAGGUCGGAAAAGCCGUAGGAAAAUCGGCAGCAUAUUUAAUGACGUAAUGCGGCGUCGGCGUCGCAGCCUCUGCUUCUGCCAGCAAUUAAGCAACAGUUAAAUUAAACGGGUUUCUAGUUCAAGGACACGACCCAGCGACGACGUGCUGCCACAACAACAAGAACAGUAGCCGGGGAAAAUUGGGUGAGUGGGUGGCUUGUCUGGUGGGUGGGCGGCUGUGGCCGUUGCCCUGUUUUUAAUUGAGUUGCAGAGAUGUUGGGGGAAGGUGGGUGAGAGUUUCGGGUUCAAUUGAGGUUAUCUUCGAGAACUUCUUGGGGAUGGAAAACUCGUUUGACUACCACAACACAAAACAUGGUAUAUGGAACAAUAGAUGUGGAUUUCUGUGAAGGAAUAAUAUGAAGACUGUGAGCUGGGCCCGUCCAACAAUUGCAACAUAAAAAUGUAUAACUUUGUUGCUGCCUGUUGGCUCGUCGUGGAGGACGUUUUACAUAUAUUUUUAUGAGAUAAAAUAGAAAAUUUUGUUAUCAGGCAGCAGCGGCAGAAAAGGAUAUAAAGCAGCGGCACACUCAUACACACACACAGACACAGAUAAACACACAUUCUAACACACACACACAUGGACACAAAGGCCCCACUUGAAAUGCCAGCCACCUCCUCGUUCCCCCUGGAAAACCAUCAACCGCACUGAGUUGCCAGUGCCAACGGAAAAUGUCUUCGGGUUGAGUGCUUUUCCGGGGAAAAUGUAAUUUUCUCAUGGCAGCCAACCUUCGCCGUUCGUUCUCGACUCUCGACUCUCUUCCUCUUGCCACGCUUUUCUUUUCCCGCUUUCCCAGAGUGGAGCGUCGAACGUGGCACGAUUGAAGUGUCGGUUGGAUACCUAGGCGAGAAGGAAACUUAAAGGAUGCUCACAGCCGGCGCUUUUCCCCCGACGAGCAGUUCCCCCAUCUUGACAGUUUCCUGUUGCCCUUUUUCGCCAGCGCCUUGCAAAUUGCUCACGCUUGCCAAGUGUGUGAGUGCACUGGUGUGUGUAUGCACUGUAAUAAAAAUUUGAACUCAAAUAUUAAAGGAAAAUAUAAGAUAUAAUAAUUUUGAGGUACUCAUUGGAGGCUUACUAAAAAUUACUAAAAAUAUCUUUGCUUUAAAAAUAAUUGCUUGUAAGUUGUUGA